RNAcentral lists this non-coding RNA (29 nucleotides) under Homo sapiens (human). Lineage: Eukaryota; Metazoa; Chordata; Mammalia; Primates; Hominidae. The record is from RNAcentral.
UAUUGGCACAACAGCUUCUGGAAAUCUGC